UCGAGUAAGUGGAGCAGUGGUCUCUUCACUUUGAUUUAUUAAGUGAGAUUCAACUCCUCCAACUUAUUUUU
Molecule: microRNA precursor, 71 nt
Filed under: Dendroctonus ponderosae (mountain pine beetle)
Lineage: Eukaryota; Metazoa; Arthropoda; Insecta; Coleoptera; Curculionidae
Description: mir-1175 microRNA precursor family
Rfam family: mir-1175 microRNA precursor family
Source: Rfam by way of RNAcentral